This 105-nucleotide microRNA precursor is filed under the name Canis lupus familiaris (dog). RNAcentral's name for it is "mir-8834 microRNA precursor family". It matches the Rfam family "mir-8834 microRNA precursor family". The record is from Rfam by way of RNAcentral. Lineage: Eukaryota; Metazoa; Chordata; Mammalia; Carnivora; Canidae.
AAGAGGAACAACCACGGUGGCAGAGGCAGCUCUGCAGCCCUGGAGUCAGCCCCCACAGUUACUACAGAGCUCUCCGUCUGCAGGGCCUGGAGGCUCUGGGGCGGG